Molecule: ribosomal RNA, 254 nt
Filed under: uncultured bacterium
Lineage: Bacteria
Description: partial 16S ribosomal RNA
Rfam family: Bacterial small subunit ribosomal RNA
Source: RNAcentral
GACGUAGGGUCCAAGCGUUGUCCGGAUUUACUGGGCGUAAAGAGCGCGUAGGCGGCUUGUUAAGUGUGAAGUGAAAUCUCCAGGGCUCAACCCGGAAACUGCUUUACAUACUGGCAAGCUGGAGUGAUGCAGAGGUUUGUGGAAUUCCUGGUGUAACGGUGAAAUGUGUUGAUAUCAGGAGGAACACCCAUGGCGAGGGCAGCAAACUGGGCAUCAACUGACGCUGAGGCGCGAAAGCGUGGGUAGCAAACAGG